CUGACUCGAGCGAUCACAGUUGGCCAGGGAAAAGUCAUGGAUGACAAAAGAAAGGCCAUGAAUGAAAGUCAGUCAAAAACUGGACAAACAUCCUUCGAGAUCUGGCCAUGAAACCACAAAAGCGAACACCCAGGAGCCACAGGAGGCCAUUACACAUCUAUGAUGGACAUGGUAGGCCAUGGAUUAGGGUGAGAUUGGAAGGUGGCGGCUAGGGUUCAUGAGGGCUUCAGAGAGAGUUGAGAGAGAAGAGGAAUUGAAGGG
This 261-nucleotide long non-coding RNA is filed under the name Nicotiana benthamiana. Its description in RNAcentral is "long non-coding RNA (NBEN_LNC013612)". The record is from RNAcentral. Lineage: Eukaryota; Viridiplantae; Streptophyta; Magnoliopsida; Solanales; Solanaceae.